Molecule: long non-coding RNA, 1383 nt
Organism: Salvelinus fontinalis (brook trout)
Lineage: Eukaryota; Metazoa; Chordata; Actinopteri; Salmoniformes; Salmonidae
Exons: 2
Source: RefSeq, a predicted model, not a curated record
GGGGGGUUGCUUUCCAGGACUUGGUUGUGGGAGGGGCUUGGUGGGAUGUACAGUAGGUUGAGGUGAGGGACUUGUCUACUGAGCGUAUAAUUAUUUGUGGGCGAGCAAUAGGGUGUUACAUGUAUGUUGAAGGGGGGAGGGUAAAUUCUCAACUCAUGCAAUGUGGCUAGUUCAGGUUGUGAAUUAACCUGGUCGACUCACUACCUGUGUUCAGGUUGUGAAUUAACCUGGUCUAGUCCACUACCUGUGUUCAGGUUGUGAAUUAACCUGGUCUAGUCCACUACCUGUGUUCAGGUUGCGAAUUAACCUGGUCGACUCCACUACCUGUGUUCAGGUUGUGAAUUAACCUGGUCGACUCCACUACCUGUGUUCAGGUUGUGAAUUAACCUGGUCUAGUCCACUACCUGUGUUCAGGUUGUGAAUUAACCUGGUCUAGUCCACUACCUGUGUUCAGGUUGUGAAUUAACCUGGUCGACUCACUACCUGUGUUCAGGUUGCGAAUUAACCUGGUCGACUCCACUACCUGUGUUCAGGUUGUGAAUUAACCUGGUCUAGUCCACUACCUGUGUUCAGGUUGUGAAUUAACCUGGUCGACUCCACUACCUGUGUUCAGGUUGUGAAUUAACCUGGUCUAGUCCACUACCUGUGUUCAGGUUGUGAAUUAACCUGGUCGACUCCACUACCUGUGUUUGUGGUUCGACAUCAGUCUCUCUUGAUUGGAGGAGGCAGCAGCGAAGCGUUUUUUUUAGUCUGUAGCCAGGCGACUGACGGCAGGAGCAUUAGGGGGGAUAGUCCUGAGGCGUCUAUCGAUGGCGGGUUAGCGUGGUUGUUGUGCUGCACCCCAAACAGUACCCUAUUCCUUAUAUAGUACACUACUUUUAGCCCAGAACCCCUAUGGGCCGUGGUCAAAAACCUGUGCACUAUAUAUAGGGAAUAGAGUUUCCAUUUGAGAGAGAGAACGUUGGAUAAAGAUGUUACAUUCCAUAGAAACUGUCACUAUGCUUCUUCUUCUUCUGUUGGACUGACCUGCUAACGCCAUUUUGUAUUUCUGUGUCAAUUAGGAGGUAUGGGGGGAGAGUCUACAACAAAGAGGACACUGGUAAUACUUGGACUGUUUUAUAACCAGCAGAGCAGGAAGAAUUUCCCCAUGUGCUUUAUCUAGUUAGUGCUUUUUUCCCUCUUCCAAUUUAAGGUUUUUAUUUUGAUACUUGUGGUUAAGAACUAGUUAAACGGGGAGAAAAGGGAGGUUAUCGUUGGGCUUGGCUGUCUUUGUCCGUGUCUUUUUUUUGGAAAUUUUCAUACAAAACACCCGAGCAUAACUGUUAUCUGGGGGGAAAAUGUUAUUUCAUGUAUGUGGAAUUAAAAAGAUAAUAUAAAAAAAAA